This 261-nucleotide ribosomal RNA is filed under the name uncultured bacterium. RNAcentral describes it as "partial 16S rRNA". It matches the Rfam family "Bacterial small subunit ribosomal RNA", at positions 505 to 765 of the family's 1533-position model. The record is from RNAcentral.
GUGCCAGCAGCCGCGGUAAUACAGAGGGUGCGAGCGUUGUUCGGAAUUAUUGGGCGUAAAGCGCUGGUAGGUGGCUUGUUAAGUCGCGUGUGAAAUCUCCAGGCUCAACCUGGAAAGUGCGCGCGAAACUGGCGAGCUUGAGUGCCGGAGAGGGUCGCGGAAUUCCCGGUGUAGAGGUGGAAUUCGUAGACAUCGGGAGGAACACCAGAGGCGAAGGGGGCGACCGGGAAGGUAACUGACACUGAGCAGCGAAAGCGUGGG